GAGUUUGAUCCUGGCUCAGGAUGAACGCUAGCGGCAGGCUUAACACAUGCAAGUCGAGGGGUAUAGUAGCAAUACUAGAGACCGGCGCACGGGUGCGUAACGCGUAUGCAAUCUACCUUUUACAGAGGGGCAGCCCAGAGAAAUUUGGAUUAAUACCUCAUAGUAUAUUGCUACCGCAUGGUAGUAUUAUUAAAGUCACAACGGUAAAAGAUGAGCAUGCGUCCCAUUAGUUAGUUGGUAAGGUAACGGCUUACCAAGACAAUGAUGGGUAGGGGUCCUGAGAGGGAGAUCCCCCACACUGGUACUGAGACACGGACCAGACUCCUACGGGAGGCAGCAGUGAGGAAUAUUGGACAAUGGGCGCAAGCCUGAUCCAGCCAUGCCGCGUGCAGGAAGACGGUCCUAUGGAUUGUAAACUGCUUUUGUACAGGAAGAAACACUCGGACGUGUCCGAGCUUGACGGUACUGUAAGAAUAAGGAUCGGCUAACUCCGUGCCAGCAGCCGCGGUAAUACGGAGGAUCCAAGCGUUAUCCGGAAUCAUUGGGUUUAAAGGGUCCGUAGGCGGUUAAAUAAGUCAGUGGUGAAAUCUGGUCGCUCAACGAUCAAACGGCCAUUGAUACUGUUUAACUUGAAUUAUUUGGAAGUAACUAGAAUAUGUAGUGUAGCGGUGAAAUGCUUAGAUAUUACAUGGAAUACCAAUUGCGAAGGCAGGUUACUACAAAUGGAUUGACGCUGAUGGACGAAAGCGUGGGUAGCGAACAGGAUUAGAUACCCUGCUAGUCCACGCCGUAAACGAUGGAUACUAGCUGUUGGGAGCAAUUUCAGUGGCUAAGCGAAAGUGAUAAGUAUCCCACCUGGGGAGUACGUUCGCAGAUGAAACUCAAGGAUGACGGGGGCCCGCACAGCGUGGAGCAUGUGG
This 920-nucleotide ribosomal RNA is filed under the name uncultured bacterium. RNAcentral's name for it is "bacterial SSU rRNA". It matches the Rfam family "Bacterial small subunit ribosomal RNA", at positions 9 to 944 of the family's 1533-position model. The record is from RNAcentral.